UACGUAGGGUGCGAGCGUUGUCCGGAAUUAUUGGGCGUAAAGAGCGUGUAGGCGGCCAGAUAAGUCCGCUGUGAAAACUCGAGGCUCAACCUCGAGCUGUCGGUGGAAACUGUCUGGCUAGAGUCCGGAAGAGGAGAGUGGAAUUCCUGGUGUAGCGGUGAAAUGCGCAGAUAUCAGGAAGAACACCUAUGGCGAAGGCAGCUCUCUGGGACGGUACUGACGCUGAGACGCGAAGGCGUGGGGAGCGAACAGG
Molecule: ribosomal RNA, 253 nt
Filed under: uncultured bacterium
Lineage: Bacteria
Description: partial 16S ribosomal RNA
Rfam family: Bacterial small subunit ribosomal RNA
Source: RNAcentral